CUCCAGCUUUGCACCGCCUUUUGGGAGGCGGCUGCUGCUUCCUGAGCCCCGCAGUGUGAGGUGUGUGCGGUGUGAGCCUCCCCGCCACCGUCUGCCUGGGAAGCGCGAGCAGCGUUUGUGUGCCAUCCGCAAUGGGCUGAAUGUUUUGGAGAAGAGAUCCUCAGAAGGAACACGGGAGGUGCGUUGGGACGCCUUCGCUCUGCACAGAGAUAAAGCCAGAGGGAUCCCACAUUCCGAACAAGGCAGAGCCUGAACUUGAACUGCGGGUUGUCCAAAGCUCAGGAGAGAGUUUAAAGAAGAAUGAGGCGGGGAGGAGGAAUGAAAUGCCUCUGGUGGUUGAGCCCUCUCACCUGCCGGAGGAUGUCGGGUCCGUCUGUGGCUGGGAAGUCUUUGGAUCAACGCAGGAGUGUGGAUGUAAGAAAAAAUCCUGUGCAAAGCAUCUGUGCUGGGGAGGAUGCGACGAGCGAAACGCUCCCGAGCCCCCUUCUCCACACCAGCAUAAAACACAGUGCUGUCGGUGGCUCUGAGGCUGCCCUAAGCCCAGCGUGGCGUUGUCCCCGCUCUGCUGGCUCUUGGCUGGAGCUGCUGGCACAUCACCUGUGCACGUGUGUGCAUGCAAGGAAGAAAG
Molecule: long non-coding RNA, 628 nt
Filed under: Gallus gallus (chicken)
Lineage: Eukaryota; Metazoa; Chordata; Aves; Galliformes; Phasianidae
Description: lncRNA (ENSGALG00010017195.1)
Source: RNAcentral